Molecule: ribosomal RNA, 516 nt
Filed under: Oreolalax rugosus (warty toothed toad)
Lineage: Eukaryota; Metazoa; Chordata; Amphibia; Anura; Megophryidae
Description: partial 16S ribosomal RNA
Rfam family: Bacterial large subunit ribosomal RNA
Source: RNAcentral
UUUGUUUAACGGCCGCGGUAUUCUGACCGUGCGAAGGUAGCGUAAUCACUUGUCUUUUAAAUAGAGACUAGUAUGAAUGGCAUCACGAGGACUUAACUGUCUCCCCCCUCCAAUCAGUGAAACUGAUUUCCACGUACAAAAGCGUGGAUAAACACAUAAGACGAGAAGACCCUAUGGAGCUUAAAACCAAAAACCACCUAUUUAACCUACUAUAUUAAUAUAUUACUAAAAUAAUAGGCCUAGUUUAGGUUUUCAGUUGGGGUGACUGUGGAGAAAAAUUAAUCCUCCAUGUAGACUUAAGCUUAGAGCAACCGCUCUAUGCAUUAGCAAGCCUAACUUUACUUGAUCCAAUAUUUUGAUCAACGGACCAAGUUACCCUAGGGAUAACAGCGCAAUCCAUUUCAAGAGUCCAUAUCGACAAAUGGGUUUACGACCUCGAUGUUGGAUUAGGACAUCCAAGUGGUGCAGCCGCUACUAAGGGUUCGUUUGUUCAACGAUUAAAGUCCUACGUGAUCU